GGCCGCGCCCCGCCCCGCGCGCCGGGGGAGGGAGCUGGGGCCGCAGGUGCACCCGGCGCCGCUGCCCGUCUCCGGGUCGGGUACCGGUAUAAUCCGCUUCUAGCUUGUUUGGAAGCGUGGACUCUUGGGAGCGGGACUUCUGCGCGAAUCUUGUCGGGGGCUUGGAAAGCAGGAAAAUUAGGCCAUUUGCAGUGAAGAAGAAUUGCUCCGGGUCGAGGGGAGGUGAGGUAGGUCCCUGCUGGAUAGAAGAGGCGGCAGUGAGGGCCCAGCAGUUGGGGCGUGUGGCCGAAAGCGGGAGGUAGGACUGGGGAAGGAGAACGCCGGCGCGGAGAGGAGGGAGGGUGUCCGGAGCUAGGCAAAGAUGGGGAGCAGGAUGGCGGAGCCCCAGCUAGUGGGGGCCCAGCUUGAGUCACUCAGCCUCAUGCUCGGCUCCUGGUGCUUCUCAGAUUUUCCUCCUCUUUGACUUCGGAAAAUAUUUUUUAUUAGGCAGGAAAGCUCUGAGGACAUAUUUUGAGAGAAACGUAGAAGUAAAGAGCUGACUUCUGGAAACUUUUCUUGGCAGCUUUAAAAAUAAAAUUCCGUUCAGGCAGCAUUUAUUGAGCACUUACAGCAUGAUCUGUGUCGGACAUUGAAAGAAUCCGGACAGGGAGGGAAUUCCCAUCUACAGUAAUGGUGAGGACUGUUUGCUUGUCCACAACCCAUGGACAAGAACGACAGUGACUGAGACCUUUCUCCCCAAACGUUUCUGGGCCUCAGAUCUUGCAGACUGUGGGAGAAAUCCAGCACCAUAAAGGUAAACCGCGUGUGCAGCCGGCUUUUAUUUUUACAAUCCAUAAAUCCCCUCCAAGCACCCCCUCAGCUAGGACAGGGUUAGACUUCUUGCUUCUGUCUUGACACUAGUUGACCGAAACACUGUUGAAAUCCUAGUGUGAGAUGGGAGACCGUUACACUUAAGUGAUAAAAAUAAGGGCUUGGGAAAGUUGAUUGGG
This 989-nucleotide long non-coding RNA is filed under the name Chinchilla lanigera (long-tailed chinchilla). RNAcentral's name for it is "lncRNA (ENSCLAG00000027920.1)". The record is from RNAcentral. Lineage: Eukaryota; Metazoa; Chordata; Mammalia; Rodentia; Chinchillidae.